RNAcentral lists this ribosomal RNA (410 nucleotides) under Feihyla vittatus (striped Asian treefrog). Its description in RNAcentral is "Rohanixalus vittatus (striped Asian treefrog) partial 16S ribosomal RNA". It matches the Rfam family "Bacterial large subunit ribosomal RNA", at positions 1834 to 2459 of the family's 2925-position model. Lineage: Eukaryota; Metazoa; Chordata; Amphibia; Anura; Rhacophoridae. The record is from RNAcentral.
CUUGAUAAAAUAUAAGAGGUCCAGCCUGCCCAGUGAAAAUUCAACGGCCGCGGUACACUGACCGUGCAAAGGUAGCAUAAUCACUCGCCCCCUAAUUAGGGGCCUGUAUCAACGGCAUCACGAGGGUUAUUCUGUCUCCUUUUUCUAAUCAGUGAAACUGAUCUACCCGUGAAAAAGCGGGUAUUCAACUAUAAGACGAGAAGACCCCAUGGAGCUUCAAACCAAAAGCAAAUUAAAUUCAUAUACCACUAUAGCUAUUAUACUAUGUACAUUGGUUUUAGGUUGGGGCAACCGCGGAGAAAAACUUAACCUCCACAACGAAAAGACCUUAGUCUUUAUCCCAGAGCCACCGCUCUAAGAACUAAGAUAUUAACGAUAAUGAUCCAACUCUAUAGUUGAUCAACGGACCA